AUGGGUCUCUGCUUCUGCCCUAACCACGCGGCCCUGUUACCAUUUGGCCUCCUGUACCUCCUGCCCAUUGUUAAUGCUGCUCGCAGAAGCAGGGCUCCCUGCUGGAUGUCAUCCCCCGGUGGUGCUGGUGCCUGGGGAUUUGGGCAACCAGCUGGAGGCAAAGCUGGACAAGCCAAUGGUCAUGCACUACCUCUGCUCUAAGAAGACAGAUAGCUACUUCACACUCUGGCUGAACCUUGAAAUGCUGCUGCUGGUCAUCAUUGCUGGAUUGACAAUAUCAGGCUGAUCUACAGUGGAACAUCUCGGGCCACCCAGUUCCCUGAUGGUGUGGAUGUGCGUGUCCCUGGCUUUGGGCAGAUCUUCUCACUGGAGUUCCUGGACCCCAGCAGAAGCAGUGUAGGUUCCUAUUUCCACACCAUGGUGGACAGCCUUGUGGGCUGGGGCUACACACGGGGUGAGGACGUCCGGGGGGCCCCUUAUGAUUGGCGCUGAGCCCCAAAUGAGAAUGGGCCCUACUUCCUGGCCCUUCGCAAGAUGAUCGAAGAACUGCACCAGGUGUACAGGGCCCCUGUAGUGCUGGUUGCCCACAGCAUGGGCAACAUGUACAUGCUCUACUUUCUGCAGCAGCAGACACAGGCCUGGAAGGACAAGUACAUCCGGGCCUUCAUGGCACUUGGUAUGCCGUGGGGGGGCAUGGCCAAGACCCUUUGUGUCCUGGCCUCAGGAGACAACAACUGGAUCCCAGUGAUUGAGUCCCUGAAGAUCCGGGAGCAGCAGCAGUCUGCUGUCUCCACCAGCUGGAUGCUGCCCUAUAGCCACACGUGGUCACCUGGGAAGGUAUUCGUGCACACGCCCACCACCAGCUACACACUGCGGGAUUAUCGCCAGUUCUUUCAGGACAUUGGCUUUGAGGACGGCUGGUUCAUGCGGCAGGACACAGAGGGGCUGGUUGAUGUCAUGGUGCCACUUGAUGUGCAACUGCACUGUCUCUAUGGCACUGGGGUCCCCACGCCAGAUUCUACUAUGACAGCUUCCCUGACCGUGACCCUAAGAUCUACUUUGAAAACUCACACAAGGACAGUAGCCAAAAAAAAAAAGGAGGGGAAAAAAAAAACCUCUGCAGUAUCUGGAGAGAAGGCAGUACAAGAAAAAAGUAG
Molecule: non-coding RNA, 1157 nt
Organism: Orycteropus afer afer
Lineage: Eukaryota; Metazoa; Chordata; Mammalia; Tubulidentata; Orycteropodidae
Source: RefSeq, a predicted model, not a curated record